Long non-coding RNA from Notolabrus celidotus (New Zealand spotty), 1117 nucleotides. RefSeq lists it as uncharacterized. The record is from RefSeq and is a predicted model, not a curated record. The transcript has 4 exons. Lineage: Eukaryota; Metazoa; Chordata; Actinopteri; Labriformes; Labridae.
UAAAACCAAUGUUCAGUGAUCAGUUCCUUCUGUGUCAUUAUCUUCUAAUUUAUGAUUCUGUCUUAUUUCAUCAUUUACAACAGCACUAAUUAGCUUACAGACUCAACGUACCUGCUGCUUCAGUGCUCCAAAAACUGAGGUUCUGCAUGAUCUACAGAUAUGGAAGGAGAAGUCAGCUGUGUGACUUUUGAAACGCCUCGGAUUCUGAUUGGUCGGUGGCGACGCUGCCGUUCAGCUCGCCCAGUCCCGUUUGCUCCUGGAUGUCGGUCAUCUCCCCGACGAUGAAGGUCGGCUCGCCUACUUUGCUGUUGGCCGAGCCGCUGUCCGGCUGCUUGGCCGCCUGGUUGGUCAGGGUGGGUUCUUCAUCCAGCCGGCUGGAGAUGGACCAGUAGAGGAUGACCACGAUCUCAAAGUCCUCCUUCUCCAGCUGAGACUGCGACAUGUCCCAGAAGGGCGAGUGCACAUCAAUCUCAUGGGAGAUCACCAGCGGCGAGACCAGGAAGAGGCGAUCAUCACCUGUCUCAAAGCCCACGCUAAUGUCUGUCUGGUCCAGAGGGAUGAACUCGCCUGAAAGAGAUGGAUCAGACGUCACAGAAACAAGAGUCCUUCUCCUCUGUGUUAGUCUUACCCUCCUGAGUCUGUUUGGACUUGAUGAGCUUGGCCCUCAUGUUGGCCCCUACGAUGUGGGAGCUCCGCAGGUCGCCCACCCUGAACAUCAGACACAGCUUGUCGUCUCUCAGAGAGAUGACGGCGUGUUUGGAGAACACCAGCGUCUCCGCUCGUUUGUUGGGCUGUGAGAUCUUCACGAACAUACAGCCGACCUGGACGGAGAGAAGGGAGGAGGAGAGCUGUGAUAACCGUCAGAGCAGAGUCAUUACAGCAGCGUUUAUUAUGAACACAAAAAGUACAGAUGUUAAAAUGCACCGUGAGUGCUGAAUACAAACAAAUGAAGUCUGUGUUUUUCCUGUUUUGGUUGUUAAAACAGUAUUGGCAUCUAAAUUAACCUUGCACUCAAUCAUUUUUAAUGUGCAAAGCAAACAGCCCACAGUUCCAUCAGCUGCUAUUAACAUGGCAUGUUUCCAGCUUGUGAACAUGAAUAAACAUGACUCUGCCCGGA